This is a long non-coding RNA of Ostrinia furnacalis (Asian corn borer), 1255 nucleotides long. RefSeq lists it as uncharacterized. The record is from RefSeq and is a predicted model, not a curated record. The transcript has 2 exons. NCBI's taxonomy places the organism in Eukaryota, Metazoa, Arthropoda, Insecta, Lepidoptera, Crambidae.
AAUUAUUCCUGUCAGACAAGAAAUGUUUCUUAUCACGCUCACAUGAAACAAAAGAUUAUGAGAUAGACAUAGAUGGAACAUACAAAACAAGCACACCAGUAAAUGUAAGUAAUAAUUACACCUUUUUUGAAAUAUGUUGUACAUCAAAAUACUGGUCAAAUUUGAAUAAAAUAUUUUUGAUGUUGAUUGAUUUUUUGGCUUUAUUUUAGUCACAUGAAACAAAAGAUGAUGAGAUCCACACAGAUGGAACAUACAAUUUAAACUUUUCAUUGCAUCUAAAUAUUAAUAAUGUCAUCACAAAAAUACGCCAAAUGACUACAAUUAUUAUUUUUUAUUUCAUUAACAGGUUUUAUUUUCGGUAUGCAAUACCGAGGUGGAACCUUUUAGAUCUGUGUCAUCCCCUCACGUUUAGUGAAAUACCGGGGUGGUUGGAACUUGAUUUGGUCCAUCCUGUCAUCAACUGUUUUUCAAUGGGACGACUUCUGAACAUCAGAGAGAUCUUGACUGUCAAGAUACGUGAAUUAGGCCACUGAACUUUUCAAAACAAAACCAACACAGGUGAAAUAUCUGAGCAUCUCCCUUGACAAUAAAUUGAACUGGGCAAGUCAUAUCGACAACAUGCAUAGUGCCUAGCAAACAUAGCGGCCAUGGGUUGUAUGAGAACCACUCUAUCGGCAUCACUUGACUUCUUUCUGAAUCUCAGACAUUUAGACCUCAUUAUUCAGGAGGAAGCACAAGCACCCACUCUAAGACUUAAAGGAAACGAUCUAUGAAAGCAAAACAAGGAGACAGGAUAUUCCGCGAUUCUGCACAAAACCCUAAAAGAAAUACCCCUCAUCAACAGGAUAGGUACCCUGUGUACACAUCUUCGACCAAAGAUAAUAUCCAGCUUACAGCGGAAACGCGAAAUUGCUCUGGAAUCAAUGAAGUUAGGAUAUACCGACGUCUUCAAAACUGAAAUAAGUACUAGGAGGUCUUCUCGAAUGACCUAAACAUAAGAAUAUCAACAACAUUAGAUAAGAAUUAAAUAUUCUCAGAUAGUGCAUCCGUACUGCAAGCGCUACAAAGCAAUACAUUGUCAUAAUGUUAUCAAAUUGUGUUUCAUGAAAUGUAUAGAAAUAGGCUAUUGAUGAAACUUUUGUCCGUGACGUGAGACAGAUUAUAACAUUUGUUGAGACCAAAACCUAGUUAGCAGUCGAUCGUAACAGAAUAUUACUUGUUUAUUGCUUUACGAAUUUGAUAAUGAUAACACAGC